UACGGAGGGUGCAAACGUUGCUCGGAAUCAUUGGGCGUAAAGCGCACGUAGGCGGCUCGUUAAGUCGGAUGUGAAAGCCCCGGGCUCAACCCGGGAAGUGCACUCGAAACUGGCGAGCUUGAGUAUGGAAGAGGGUCUCGGAAUUCCCGGUGUAGAGGUGAAAUUCGUAGAUAUCGGGAGGAACACCAGUGGCGAAGGCGGAGACCUGGGCCAAUACUGACGCUGAGGUGCGAAAGCGUGGGGAGCAAACAGG
Molecule: ribosomal RNA, 253 nt
Filed under: uncultured bacterium
Lineage: Bacteria
Description: partial 16S ribosomal RNA
Rfam family: Bacterial small subunit ribosomal RNA
Source: RNAcentral